UGAUAAAAUUGAAAACUUCAAUUAUUCUCCACCACAAAUAAAAAAAUAAAGCACAUUCGUGCUUUCUUGUUCACCCACAAAAAAAGGAAGUUGCUUUUUCUUCUUUACUUUCACAGAACAAAACAACAAGAACAAUUCUUUCUUUUCUUUUUUCUUUAAUCGAUCAAGUAACAAGCAAGUAGCAACCUUCACAAGCUUCCCAUUAGGGUUCUGACCGGUGGCUGUUCGGGGUUUAGGAGGAUGUCGACGGUGGUUCUCACAGGUUGUAGAUGAUGAGCAAAGUGUUUCCAAGGAUCAGAAACACCGCUCUGAUAGGGUGAUACUAUACACACCCCCCUAAUUCCUGAUUACACCCCCCCUAUAAAAACAUCACAUCCAUCAAU
Molecule: long non-coding RNA, 383 nt
Organism: Helianthus annuus (common sunflower)
Lineage: Eukaryota; Viridiplantae; Streptophyta; Magnoliopsida; Asterales; Asteraceae
Exons: 2
Source: RefSeq, a predicted model, not a curated record